RNAcentral lists this ribosomal RNA (261 nucleotides) under uncultured archaeon. Its description in RNAcentral is "partial 16S ribosomal RNA". It matches the Rfam family "Archaeal small subunit ribosomal RNA", at positions 748 to 1008 of the family's 1478-position model. The record is from RNAcentral.
CAGCCGUAAACUAUGCGCGUUAGGUGUAUCGGUGACCACGAGUUACCGAGGUGCCGAAGGGAAACCGUGAAACGUGCCGCCUGGGAAGUACGGUCGCAAGGCUGAAACUUAAAGGAAUUGGCGGGGGAGCACCGCAACAGGUGGAGCCUGCGGUUUAAUUGGACUCAACGCCGGGAAGCUCACCGGAUAGGACAGCAGAAUGAUUGCCGGGCUGAAGACCCUGCAUGACUAGCUGAGAGGUGGUGCAUGGCGUCAGUGACU